Equus caballus (horse) is the source of this 4811-nucleotide long non-coding RNA. RefSeq lists it as uncharacterized. The record is from RefSeq and is a predicted model, not a curated record. NCBI's taxonomy places the organism in Eukaryota, Metazoa, Chordata, Mammalia, Perissodactyla, Equidae.
UGGCUGCACCUAGACAUCAACAAGCCUUUAUGGAGUGCCUGUUGUAUGCCAGGUCCUCAGAAGACAGAGAGGUGACCCCAAGACAGAUGCAGGCCCUGCCCUCCCGGCAUGUCCAGUCUAGCGAGCAAUGAAGAGGAGUGAGAAACUAUUAAGGUUGCUGUUUCAGAUGACAGCCUAUCAGGAAGGGGGGACUGGAGUUCAAAAACCCCCAGAGGGGCUAGAUGAUCUGGAGGAGGGGCAGCUGGGCAGGUAGGAGUCAACUUGAUUGAUGGGGUGCAGGAAGUGUGCUCUAGGUGGAGGGAAGAGCAUGCGCAAGGGCCCUGAGGCAGGAUGGAGCCUGGACAGGCUGGGGCCUCACUGUGUGCACAGGGCCACGUCAUGAAUUCCUCUGUAGAAAAAAACAUCACAUUUAAAUUGUGGUUUAUAACUGUAUAAGCAUCAGGACGAGGGUAGUCCAGGCUAGAUUCAUUAUUGUAUAUUCAUUAUUAUUGGAUUCAUUUUUUUCUUCUGAUUUUAAAAAACUCAAACGUUUUGGUGGCCCCUCCACAGUGCUGGCCCUGAGCAUGGGGACCUGUGGGCCCCAGAUGUGCGCUGGCUGACUCCCCUCCCCCUGCCCCAGCGCUCAGACAAAACCACUUCCUCCUCCGCCCGGGCAGAAGUGGCCUGGACCCUCACGGCUGAGCUGGGGCUCCCUGCGGGCCUAUCUCCCCGGCCCAGCCCAUCCUGAGAGCCCCCACUGCAGGCUCCAGCUGGGCACCCCCACAGCCCCCUGCUCCCGAGAGCGGGGGGGGGCGGCCUUAUCUGGAGUCUGCAGGUCAACGAGGCCCAAGCAGAAGACACAGGGAACUCGUCUUGUCACUCACCCCGUGUGGCCUUGGUCCUACAGGGCCUCCAUUCUAUUGGUUCACGCACUCAUUUAUUCACGCCACAAACAUUGGUUGAGCUCCAGCUGUGGGCACCACGCCAGAUGCUGGAGAUGAAGCAGAAGACAAGAGGGGCACUGUCCCUGCCCUGCUGGGGCCUGCAGUCCCUGGGGAGACAGAUGACACACAGGGCCACAUGCAGGAAAGGCUAGUGGAAGAGGAGACAGCAAGCCAAAGGUCCUGGGUUGGGGAUGAACUCGGCACCUUGAGGAGCAGACCACAGCCAAGGAGUCCAAAAGGUGGAGACAGCCCAGACAUCCGUCAACGAAUGGAGAGAUAAAAAACGUGCACCCAGCCAUAAAAAGGACGAAGCACUGACAUAGGUACAAUAUGAUGGAUCUCCAAGACGUGAUGCUGAGUGAGAGAAGCCAGACACAGAGGGCCACACAGUGCGUGAUUCCAUGUGUAGGAAACGUCCAGAACAGACAGAUCCACAGACAGAAAGCAGACGGGUGGUGGCCAUGGGCUGGGGAGGGGAGGAGGACUGCUCAUGGGGACGGGGUGAUGAGAGUGUUCUAAAUUGACUGUGGCAAUGGUUGCACAACACUGCAAAUUACUAAAAUCCACUGAAUUGCACACUUUCGUGGGUGAAUUGUAUGGUGUGUCAAUUAUAUUUCAAUAAAGCUAUUAUAUAAAAAAAAGCCACAGUGUCACCUCUCUCAGCACAAGGGGCCAAUGGCUGAGCAGCCCCUUCCCUGCCCACCACCCCAUCAGAGUCCUUAGAACAAGGAAACCUGGUGACUGAGCGAGAGGCUGGGUGUAAUCAAGGUGGGACUGAGGACCUGGAGGGCUCCGCCUGCCCGGCUGCGGCACGGAACGCUCACCGCUCGAAGCUGUCAGCUUUUUGGAUGACUUGUUCCCCCUUAGAGACAAGAUGAGAAAAGGGAAGUGAAGUCUUCUUUAGGGGCACAACACGAACAAGGAGGCUAACGCUAAUGCUGAUAAUGAUGGUGACAAUGUUAUUGAGGAGGAGGAUGUUGACAGCUGCUAAUCUCUCUCGGCUCAGCCUUGGGCUCUUCACAGCCAUCCUGUGAGGUGGGAACUAUGACCACGCCCAUUUGACACAGGAGGGAACUGAGGCUCAGCACUCAGCUGUGCUGAGCCCUGGGUCUGAGGCCAGGCUGGGACUGGAGCCCAGGCAGCUCCCUCUGACCCAGGACCUGUGAAGGGCCCAGCAGCAAGCCAGGCAUGGGGCUGGGAAGGGGGGGGUAGGGGGGAAUGUAGGGGGCUGCCCAACCAGCGUUUGCUAUUUAUGGCCAUUAGCCAUCACUUUCUCUGAAUUCUGCGGUUCCAGGGAGGAGUGGAAAGAAAGCGGAGGUCUUCUAAAGCGGCCAUUUUCCAGGCAUCACUGGGCACUCUGAGUUUUAGAGCAAGAUUCAGGGCCCUCCUGGAGCAGGGGCCGGAGGUCCUGGGGACGGGACCGUGACAAAGCUCCCCAGAGACGCUGAUGGCAGCUAGGCCGGGGACGCCCAGGGCAGGCCCCUAAGCCCAGCAGGGGAAAGGAGUGUAUGGCAGGGCUCCCAAGCCCCUCUGAGUUGCAUUGCCCUCUCCUUGCUGAGGUUUGGGGCCCAGAGGCAGAAGCCUGGGAUGAGAGCUGCCCUCUGGGAUGUGGAGGAGGGAGGAGGUGAGCCCCUCCCUGCCCACCCCUGGAAGCCAUGUGUGUCUCCAUUCAUUUACAGGCGCAGGCCACGCAGGAACACACAGCAAAGCCCCUGUCCUCACGGAGCUUAUGUGCUGAGGGGGCACCCAGAGUUGGCCAUGAGAACAAGUGACUUCUGAUAAACGCCACCAAGAAGUUGAGGUGGGAGGAGAGAGGGAAGUGGUUGGGGGAGGUCUCUGCAUAGGUGGCCCUGGAUGUCACGACCUGAUGGACCAGUGGGGUGUGUAAAUUCAGAGGACUGCCAGACAGAGGGUGCAGCCAGUGCAAAGGCCCUGGGACAGGGAUGAGUAUGGGGGAAAGUAGUAAGGCAGGAGUGGGGCUGGAGUGGGGUGGUCCAUGGGAGGAUGCUCAGAGAAAAGGGAGGAGGUGGGCAGGGGCCCAGCACACCGGCACGCACGGUGAGGGCGUGAGUUGUAUUUAAGUACAAGAGGGAGCUGGGGGUGACACCAUCUGAUUCCGAUUUCCUAUGGAUACCCUGAAAACACCCUGAAGGACAAAGCAGAGGCUGGGACAGAGGUCCAGGGGGUGGUGGCUCCAGUGUGGGAGGGGGAGGAGGACGGAGCCCAAGGUAAGAGCUCUCUCUCGGCUGUGUUCUGUUUAGGGCGCCGAUUGGACAUCUGAAUUGGGACAGACGGUGGGCAGGUGGCCAGGGGCCUCUAGAGCUCCGAGUCGGGGCUGGGCUGGACCCGCAGUCCGGAGUCCCUGGCAUGUCUAAGGCCUAUGGGUGGGGCUGGCUCUCGGCUGGCAUCUGGGAACGAGGCUGGGAAACAGCUCCCUCUGCUGAGACACAACUUUCCCCCCAGGAUGGGUGGCUCACUACUGUGCCUGAACGGUCUGUACAAACUAUGUGCUUUAUGCUAAAGCCCUGCUUUCUUCCUGGGAAGCUGGGAUUCCGGUACAUCUGGGCAGAGGGGGCCGGCAUGACCAGCCCCAAUAGAAACCCUGGGCGCUGAGUCUCUCAGGAGCGUGCCCAGGGGACCACACUUCACACGUGUGGUCACAGCUUGGCGACAGAGGAACUAAGUACAUUGGGCAGGACCCCACAGGGAGAAGGCUCCUGGCAGCUUGCGCCUGGUUUCCUCGGGACGUGGCCCCAUGUGCCUUUUCCCUGUGCCAAUCUUCCUUUGCAGCCUUCUGCUGUAACCCAUCCGCUAUGUGCCGAGUUCCAGUGGACCAUGAACCUGGGCGUGGUCUUGGGGACACCCAACAGAGUGGAAGGAACUCCCUGGGGAGCCAGUCUGGAGGAGUGGGCCCUGGAGGAGCCACCAGGGAGGUGGGAGGCGAACGGUGGCCGAGCCGGGUGCCAGCAGCCAAGGGAGGAAGGUGUGCAGAGGGGAGGAGAGGAGCUCAGACCAAGCACUCAACGGGGUGAAAGGGGGCCAGUGGGGACCAAGACAAGAGAAUCCAGUGGCAUGCUGGAGACAGACGCUGCCAGCUGGGGAUGCGGUAUGCCGAGGCGGAGCCGUGAGGGGUGACACCCCUUGUUUCCUGUGAAAGGGGCGCAGUGCUGUGGGGGCGGGGUGGGAAGCUUGUUUCUCCAAGUCAACCCUUUGAUAACAGUGUCAUCUCCUCAGAACGUGGGGUGACCGUUUCCUCCAGCUUGGGCUAAGCCACUGCCUCUGCUCUGAGCUUGUCCAGACCUGAGGCCCCGCCCGCCUCGGGUUCCUGCGAACCCCCAUCUACCACCUGGCCACAUCCGUGCGCCCACUGGGAAAAUGUGGACGGAAAACUCCGCGAACUUUAACAUGAGCUUUAAUUUGUUUUCCUUAAGUGCAUUUAUUGAUGUAAACAGAGCAUGUUAAGAGAUCCCAGGGAAGAGCAGACUAUGGCUGGUAUGUUGGUUUUAAUUCAAAAAAAGAGCAAACUAUGAUCCCAAUGUCUUGGACUGACAGCAGCUUGGGGGUAGGCGGGGAGAAAGAAAAACACAGGCUCCCUGAUGACGCCCCUCUGGCCUGGUUCCCUGGUCCAAGCUGUGCAGUCUCUGUGGGAAGGCAGAGCUGUCAAAGCAGAACCAUGCGACUGCAGUCAAGAACCACCCCAGAAGUUCUGCGGUCAGUCUGUCACGCGGGCCACCUGGGGCCUCGGCCACGCCAGGCGCUGCCUCGCGCUCUUAGCCACGUCCAGCCGGGCGUGUGCGCAUGUCCCCGAUCACCUGGGUCUGCCAUUAGAGAUCAGAGACGGAAUCACUUCAUGGCACCACAGAUCUGGAAAAAUAAAAAUCUCAGCUA